AAAGGCCUCACAUGAGGACACAGUGAGAAGGCAGUCAUCUACAAGUCAGGAAGAGAGCCUUCACCAGAAAUGGAAUUUGUUGGCAUGCUGAUCAUGGACUUCCAGCCUCCAGAACUGUGACAAGAUAAAUGUCUGUUUUUGGCUGGGCAUGGUGGCUCACACCUGUAAUCCCAGCAUUUUGGGAGGACGAGGAUGUACUUUUAACUCUUGGAUCAGAACAGCAUGCCUGGGACUGGUCUUCAUGUAAGAAGCGGAGGGAAUUCCAGAUUGAAUUGAAGGACACCAGACAGUGAUCUGUGAUCAACGAUCUCCGAUGUUUCUGUGGUAAUUGUUUUGGGCAGCAUAGACCACACCUAUAUAAGAUGGUGAACUUAACUGAUCAAUGCUGGAUGGGUUCUGACUGAUCCACCGACCGACUUCCCCCUCUUUCUUCCUUUCCUCAGGCCUCCCUAUUACCUAAGAUACAAAAAUAUUGAAAUUAGGCCAAUUAAUAACCUACAAUGGCCUCUAAGCAUUCAAGUGAAAGAGCCACACAUCCCUCA
Molecule: long non-coding RNA, 542 nt
Filed under: Homo sapiens (human)
Lineage: Eukaryota; Metazoa; Chordata; Mammalia; Primates; Hominidae
Description: HSALNT0292876
Source: RNAcentral